GGGUUAUAUCAGGAGAUACUGAAGGAACUGGACAGGUUUUACUUUUCAAAAAGAGAAUUGCAGGAUAGGUUUUCAAACACUAGUUUGGAUAUUGGUAAAAAUUUCUUGGUGGGAUUUUUUUUUAGAAUAAUGUAAUUUUAAUUUCCUUUCAAGUCUAGCACAGUGUCCUAAGACUUGAUCCGCUUGUUAUGAGCCUGUAUUAGCCCAAGAAUUAACUGGUCUUAAGCAAGAUUUGCACUUUCUAUUCGCCACCCGUCUCUGUCCUUUCCGAAAUUCAUUUUGUGUAUCUUGCUUGCUGUGGAGAUAACUCACAAUCAGUUUUGGGCAGCACUCUGAAGCGUGGAAAACAUUCCACCUCCCCCCAGCCGCUGUAACAUAUGGAACAAAACAAAAGUAUGAGAUUUGUCUUUUCUUUCAAAAUAAAAGCAUUUUCAAAGCUUCUGGCUAAUUGUGGAUAGUGUUUCAGAAAUUUUUUUGUUUUCAAAAAAUUUUUCUAUACUGCUCUUCAUUUCAUGCUACCAGAGUGGGCAGUUGUAAGGGCUUUAUUGCUAGGACACUACAGUACUUUCCAUAAAAAGGGUUACUAUAUAAAGCUCUGAGAGUCAGAAAGCAACAUUUCAGUUACAGUGGUACCUCGGGUUAAGUACUUAAUUCGUUCCGGAGGUCCGUUCUUAACCUGAAACUGUUCUUAACCUGAAGCACCACUUUAGCUAAUGGGGCCUCCUGCUGCUGCGCUGCCGCCACACAAUUUCUGUUCUCAUCCUGAAGCAAAGUUCUUAACCCGAGGUAAUAUUUCUGGGUUAGCGGAGUCGGUAACCUGAAGCGUAUGUAACCCGAGGUACCACUGUACCUCCAAAGCCUAACACUUAAGAGCUGCUUCCAAUACUUCUGUACCCAGUAAUUUAGUAAAGGCAAGAAAAAAACCUCCAGAGGUCAUAGGUAGUUUUCUUACAAACGUCUUUUGUUAAGAAUAGGCUUGUAUCUGAGUCUGUUUGCGUCUUCUCUACAGCUUUAUCCUUUUUAAAUGUUUUCUUAUCUUUUCCUUUGCGACACAUAAGUGCUUUCCGAAAGGCCAUGUGUGAUGUCAUGACACAGCCACUGUUGCCACAGUAAAUGUUAAUGAGUUCCUUUCCCAUCUAUUGGAUUGGAUUGCUUGAAGAGAGUGGGCAUCAUUAAAAAAUACCAUGGCUGUGUGUGUUUUCUGAGCUGGUAGCUUAACCUCUUACCACAUCUAAAAUACAGUUGAAUCAAAGCAUUUUUAACCCAUAUAACAUGUAUCAUCUGCACUUGCAUCCAGAAAUCCUUCGGGUUCCUCAAAUGACUUAUGUUAGGUACCUUUCAUUAGACUGUGUGGAUGGUUCUAAUGCAAAUUUGUACUGCAGUGGAAAAGUUGAAAGUUUCUUGCAUAAAUUUAUAUUUAUAACUUGCAAUCAGAAAGAUGCUGUCUCAUUGCAGACUUUUUGUUUGGUGUUACUCCUGUUAGAUCUACACAUACUACAUUUGCUUCAGUACUAGAACCUUCUGUAGCUUGUUCUGGUGCAUAACCCGCAAUGGACAGUGCAGUAAAUACAAGACAUAUAUAAAUGGAGCUCCAUAAAUCUUUCAGUCCAACAUAUCAGUUGCAAGAAGGAGCAUCUUGCUGAAGGAAUGGCCUGUAAUGGAUGCAGUGAAACACAAUACAUUAUGUGCAGUGGUUAAAUAUUAAUAUGCAUAGGCAGUGUUUAAAGCUCAAGAAUGAAUCUUACUGAGGAUGAAAUUUCAAAGCACUUCGAAGGUUUCAUAAUGAGGCUUCUGGAUGUAGUAAUCUCUGCUUUACCAAAGGCAGUUACUCUUUUGUGAACUAUAUCAACAAUUAAAUUAAAUUUUGUUUCUCAAAAAAGCUUUUGCUGACACACAAUACUGAAGAGUUUAGAGUAGGGGUCUUUCCAGGUCCUUUUUAAUUACCUAAAAAUGUAACUGGUAUUUGACAGGGGACUGGAUUGGCCAUUCUGAAAGAGCAAUUAUGUGUCUCAGUUGUCUGUCCUCUUUUUUUAAUCAUAAGGAUGCCCUUUUUUCAACCAGUUCCAUUACACUAAUGAGGGCGUCUCAGUGAGAGGUGUGAGGUGUGGUUAAUAUUAAGACCAUCUUUUCUUAUAGCUACAACCAUCUGUAGGAAUUAGUUUCCGCAGCUAGUGUUUGGAGGCUGACUUCCUGUUCAGUGGAACACAGUGCUUUGGAAUCGGAGAAUUCAUGCAGAUAGUGCCUAAGGAGAUUUAAGAUUGUCUUUGCGGUCUUGAGUUCAUUGUACUGCGUAGCAUUCCCUUCUCAUAUACAAUGCACGUAAAAUCUUAAAAUUAGUAGUGUGAAAUUUAAAUCCCACCCCCAGUUCUGUUUUGCUUUUUACACUGAAUAGGCAUGCAGUUGAGCUUCCUCUAUAUAGAAAAUACUGAUUCAUUCCCCCGAAAUGGUUCCAAUUUUAUUUCCGUUUUUGUAGCUUAUUUGUUUUUGUCAGUGUGUGUUAUCCAUUGAUACUAUAUCAAUCCAGUUUUUUAAUUGAUAAAGUGCACCAGAAACUGAUUUUGAUGACUUAAUCCAUAGAUGUUAUGACAAGGAUGCCAUUACCUUUUGUUGGAUAGCAGUGUGACUGAUUGGCUGUAGAUGUUCCUGACAUAGCCUGUCAGAAGGGGUUAUUUUAUCUGAAACCAGUAUGGUUACAGAUGAGAGUGGUCCUGGGAAACAUCAUUCACUUCUACUAGUCACAUCCAUCACUUCCUAAUUAUUGCAGUUUUCAGGCAAGAAACAAGUUCUCCUUACUGUCCCUUAAGGGACUUGAUUGUCGCUGAUGUAACCAGUCUCUGCUCAAGUGACAUGGGAACUAAUAGGAUUAAUUUACUAGAUUUAGGGCACACCUCUGCUUCAGGCUGAAAUACAUUGCUUUAACUUGGAGCCAUAUAGUCUAAGUGUAUAUAUCAGGUGAAUGUGCUGACACUAGUGAUGCUAAAUUGAGCAUGGUGGCUGAGCUGAACAUCCUAGUAUUCACACUGGAACUAGUCAUUUUUGUUGAGUAGCUUAAUAGAAACAUUCUUCGUAGUUUGGAAAUGCAAUCCUUCUAGCCAAUGAAGCACUUCUCUUUUUUUAAUUAUAAAUACUAUGAAAAAAUACUGAUUUUAACUAAAUUUAUUCCCCAUGGUUGUAUGAUAAUCUAAAAUAUUUGACAAGAAAUUGUGAAAAUGGAAAAACUAACAAAAUUUAGAAUCACAUUUCAAAAUGGUAUUCAAAAUUGCAAAAAAUAGAAUACAGUAGAAAAAAUAGAAGUUUUGGUCAGUUAGAAUUUGUAAGGACCUUGAUCACUCUGAAUGUCAAAGCUGUGAAAAAGGCACAUGUCAGUUUCUAGAUUCUUGAGAAGUAGGUCAACAAACAUGCCAGUGUAACUGGUGCAGUGAAGCUCGCAUUAGUUUUCUGUUAUGGUAAGCUAGUCACCCAUCCAGGUUUCAUUUAAGGAUCACAUGAAGUGGAGGCGGAUUGUGUUACCGUAUUUUUUGCACCAUAACACUCACUUUUUCCUCCUAGAAAGUAAGGGGAAAUGUCUGUGCGUGUUAUGGAGUGAAUGCCUGCGGGUGGCAGGGGGGAUCUGCUGCAGUCAUGAGCAGAGGAUCCAUGGUUCCCCUUCCUUCUCUCCUCCGUGGUUACAAAGCAUGGAUCCACAUGGAUCCUCAGGAUUUUUGCAUUGGGCUACUCCAAACUCACUGUCAGAUCACAUGUCUGUGGCCACAGCAUGAACCACAAAAAUCAUAUAUCCACUAUUUCGUUUAGAAUAUUUUUUUCUUGUUUUCCUCCUCUAAAAACUAUGUGCGUGUUAUGGUCUGGUGCGUGUUAUAGAGCGAAAAAUACGGUAAUUCAGCCACUGCACCUGAUCAGGCUUUGGAUAUAUGUAACACUCCAAUUGGUUCUUUCUAGGUCUGCAGUGUUUGUGAGGAAAGGAUUCUCAUUUUAUUUGUGAGGUUUGUUUAUUCAUUUAAAAGCAUCUGUUAACCUCCCCCCCCAUAUAUUUAAAUCUCUAAAUGAUGUACAAUAUAACACCCAUAAAACAGUAGUGUAGAAGCAUGUAAGAACAAAUAAAAACAGGAAUUCAUGGAAUUGAAACACAUAAAAAAAGGAUCUAAUCUUAUGGUUCAGGGAAAGCCUGGAGUGGGGGUGGGGAAAGUCUUUACAAAAUGCCUGAAACAAUUGAUGGUAGCUACUUCACAUAAGACAGAAGGAAGGGCAUUCAGAAAAUGCUCAUAAUCUGUUCCCUGCCCUAUGAUGUUUUGUAGGGUGCUGUACCAUGAAAACAUUUCCCCCAUAUGUUCUAAGUGAUCUUACAGGCAGUUUUUCCAAGUAUCCCGGUCCUGAGUUGUCCAGGGCUUUAUAUGUUAACCGCCAGACCUUGAACACAGCCCAGCAGCUGAUCAGCAGCCAGUACAGUUCUUUCAGCACAGGCGUAACAUGUUCACAUCCAGCUGCUCCACUCGGAAAGCUGUCCACAUCAUUCUGCACCAGCUUCAGUACCAACCCCAAGGGAAGCCCCACAGUAGUCCAGUCAUGAGAUUACCAGCACAUGAAACAUGGUGGCUAAGCUAUCAAGAUGAGGAUGUAUGUAAGGUUGUCUAUAUUCUAGAGGAAGCAUAUCCAAAGUGGUGCCAUUAAUUUUUGUUACUUAGUGUUUCAACAUCUCUGACCAUUAGCCAUGAUAAUUGAAGAUUAUGAGAGUUGUAGUCCAUUAAGAUCUGGAGCACACCACGUUGGCUACCCCUGCUCUAGAAGUAGCAUUAGCACAGUUUUGAGGAGUGCUAAGUCAAGAUUAGGGUUGUGGGUGGCGCUGUGGUCUAAACCACAGAGCCUAGGGCUUGCCAAUCGGAAGGUCGGCGGUUUGAAUCCCCGCAACAGGGUGAGCUCCUGUUGUUCGGUCCCAGCUCCUGCCAACCUAGCAGUUCGAAAGCACGUCAAGUGCAAGUAGAUAAAUGGGUACCGCUCUGGCGGAAAGGUAAACGGUGUUUCCAUGCACUGCUCUGGUUCGCCAGAAGCGGCUUAGUCAUGCUGACCAGCGGAAGCUGUAUGCCAGUUCCCUCGGCCAGUAAAGCGAGAUGAGCGCCGCAACCCCAGAGUCAUCUGCGACUGGACCUAACGGUCUGGGUACUUUUACCUUUACCUUUAUCUUUAAGUCAAGAUUUUACAGUGAAUAUUUUGCUGGGUCAGGAUGAGGAUAUAUGCAAUUAUGCAGUUGAUAUAUGCUCCUGUGUAAAGCAGAGAAUCC
Molecule: long non-coding RNA, 5272 nt
Filed under: Podarcis lilfordi (Lilford's wall lizard)
Lineage: Eukaryota; Metazoa; Chordata; Lepidosauria; Squamata; Lacertidae
Source: RNAcentral